Molecule: ribosomal RNA, 496 nt
Filed under: uncultured bacterium
Lineage: Bacteria
Description: partial 16S ribosomal RNA
Rfam family: Bacterial small subunit ribosomal RNA
Source: RNAcentral
GAUGAACGCUGGCGGCGUGCCUAAUACAUGCAAGUCGAGCGAACGGACGAGAAGCUUGCUUCUCUGAUGUUAGCGGCGGACGGGUGAGUAACACGUGGAUAACCUACCUAUAAGACUGGGAUAACUUCGGGAAACCGUAGCUAAUACCGGAUAAUAUUUUGAACCGCAUGGUUCAAAAGUGAAAGACGGUCUUGCUGUCACUUAUAGAUGGAUCCGCGCUGCAUUAGCUAGUUGGUAAGGUAACGGCUUACCAAGGCAACGAUGCAUAGCCGACCUGAGAGGGGGAGGGGCCAAAAGGGAACUGAGACACGGGCCAGACCCCUAGGGGAGGCAGCAGUAGGGAAUUUUCCGCAAUGGGAGAAAGCCUGACGGAGCAACGCCGCGGGGGGGAUGAAGGUUUUCGGAUUGUAAAACUUUUUUAUUAGGGAAAAAAAAAUGUGAAAGUAAAUGGGCAAAUCUUGACGGUACCUAAGAAAAAAGCCACGGAAAACUCCGU